This 253-nucleotide ribosomal RNA is filed under the name uncultured bacterium. Its description in RNAcentral is "partial 16S ribosomal RNA". It matches the Rfam family "Bacterial small subunit ribosomal RNA", at positions 524 to 776 of the family's 1533-position model. The record is from RNAcentral.
UACGUAGGGGGCAAGCGUUGUCCGGAUUUAUUGGGCGUAAAGAGCGUGUAGGCGGUUAGGUAGGUCCGUUGUGAAAUCCCGAGGCUCAACCUCGGGCCUGCAGUGGGUACGGGCAGACUGGAGUGCGGUAGGGGAGAAUGGAAUUCCUGGUGUAGCGGUGGAAUGCGCAGAUAUCAGGAGGAACACCGAUGGCGAAGGCAGUUCUCUGGGCCGUAACUGACGCUGAGGAGCGAAAGCGUGGGGAGCGAACAGG